GACGAACGCUGGCGGCGUGCUUAACACAUGCAAGUCGAACGGAAAGGCCCUGCUUUUGUGGGUUGCUCGAGUGGCGAACGGGUGAGUAACACGUGAGUAACCUGCCCUUGACUUUGGGAUAACUUCAGGAAACUGGGGCUAAUACCGGAUAGGAGCUCCUGCUGCAUGGUGUGGGGUGGAAAGAUUCGGCGGUUGGGGCUGGACUCGCGGCUUAUCAGCUUGUUGGUGGGGUAGUGGCUUACCAAGGAUUUGACGGGUAGCCGGCCUGAGAGGGUGACCGGCCACAUUGGGACUGAGAUACGGACCAGACUCCUACGGGAGGCAGCAGUGGGGAAUAUUGCACAAUGGGCGGAAGCCUGAUGCAGCAACGCCGCGUGCGGGAUGACGGCCUUCGGGUUGUAAACCGCUUUCGCCUGUGACGAAGCGUGAGUGACGGUAAUGGGUAAAGAAGCACCGGCUAACUACGUG
This 468-nucleotide ribosomal RNA is filed under the name uncultured bacterium. RNAcentral describes it as "partial 16S ribosomal RNA". It matches the Rfam family "Bacterial small subunit ribosomal RNA", at positions 28 to 507 of the family's 1533-position model. The record is from RNAcentral.